Molecule: long non-coding RNA, 1028 nt
Filed under: Capsicum annuum
Lineage: Eukaryota; Viridiplantae; Streptophyta; Magnoliopsida; Solanales; Solanaceae
Description: long non-coding RNA (CANN_LNC020880)
Source: RNAcentral
AUCUUCUUUGUUUUCAUUCAAAAUCAUUCUUUAGGGUCAAAAUUUUCGCUCAGACAAGAAUUAGUUGGAUCAAAAUCGAAGCUUUGCGAUUGCUAUUAUAUUAUUUUUAUAGUUCACAGGUCGUAAAUGAAUGUCAGUUGGCUUUGAAUAAUUUCUUGUGUAAAGGUUGGGUUUAAUUGUAUUUAUCGUAAUAUCUCUAUUAGUUUGUUAUUUUGUGGUAGUUUACAAUUCAUAGAUGAAUCUCGAUCGGCUUUGAAAAAUUUUUGUGUGUAAAAUUUAAGUUUAAUUGUAUUAUUUUUAUAUCAAUUUUAUCGUAUUAUUUUGUUGCAUUUUACAGGUGAUAGAUAAAUGUUGGUCGGCUUUGAAUGAUUUUUUUAUGUAAAGGUUAGGUUUAGUUUUAUUAUUUUGAUAUCUCUAUUAUUGUGUCAUUUUGUUAUUGUUUACAGGUGGUAGAUGAGUGUCGGACGACUUUGAAAAAAAAUGUGUGUAAAGAUUAUAUAUAAUUGUAUUAUUUUGAUGUCUCUAUCAUUGUAUUGUUUUGUUGCAAUUUACAGAUGGUAGAUGAUGAUGAUUUUGAUGGCCUUGAUGAUAUCACUCAUUUGAAAGUUGAUCCAAGCAUGCCACAAACCUCAUCUAAAAAAUCCAAAACUCCCCUGAGACAUACAUUUAACCUCCUUAAAUAUGAAUCAUCUUAAAACCCAACAUUUUGAUGAUGGGAAGGCAAUAUAAAAAUUUGAAAAGUUUAAGGGUCUUGAAAAUUACUAAGUCCCCAACACUUAGUGAAAUUUUUAAGCCUUGGACCCCUUAAGCAUGCAACGAUGAGAUGAAUCAAGCAAAGAUUAUUAUGGGGUAUUGCAGUUUUUAUUCAAAAAAGGGUCCUGUACCUCGUUUUGAUGGGUUGUAAGAUGAUUUCUAACACACUAUCUACCAUACUUUUUGCCCUAGCUAGUGUUUGUUAGUUAAUAGAUUAUAUCUCUACUAUUUUUCUACUAUUUUUGUUUGCUAUUCUUUUUGAUUAAACAAAAAGA